Molecule: ribosomal RNA, 194 nt
Filed under: uncultured bacterium
Lineage: Bacteria
Description: partial 16S ribosomal RNA
Rfam family: Bacterial small subunit ribosomal RNA
Source: RNAcentral
CCUACGGGAGGCAGCAGUCGAGAGGCUUCGGCAAUGGGGGAAACCCUGACCGAGCGACGCCGCGUGAGGGAUUAAGCCCUUCGGGGUGUAAAGCACUUUCGGACGGAACGAAAUCGCGCGAUCUAAUAAGUCGCGUGGAUGACGGUACCGUAAGAAGAAGCACCGGCUAACUACGUGCCAGCAGCCGCGGUAAU